CCUAUCGUCUCACGGGGGUGUGUUAUUGGGGCACUAGUGCGCAGAAGCCCCGAAUAUAUCCGACUACUCGUGCAGCUCUCCCCACCAACCCGUUUUAACCCCUCGGAAAUAAGGGGUGGUUCCCCAAGAAUCCUCUCGAUUACAUUUCGUGUCGGGGCUCGGAUCGCGAACUAUUCAGUUUCUAUUCGUCCUCCGAAGCGAAACGUUGUCGUCGUCUUUCCUCAUCUGGUCCUUCGUGGUCGUGCCCAUUUUUUUUUCCAUCUGUCUCACACUCCCUCUCUCUCUCUCUCUCUCUCUCUCUCUCUCUAUCUUUAUUUCUUUCUUUCUAUUUAUUAAUCUUAUCACAUCGUCUUCGUUUUUGAACGUUUUCAUCAUCGUGCAUACACACUCAUGCAUAUAUAUACAUACAUAGAUACACAGAUACAACACAUUCGUGAUAAAUCCAUGGAACUAAUCGGACAUUCGAAUACUCGUGGGGACUCGUGUCGUGUUUUUCAACCAAUCGGUGAUACUUUAAUUCGCGCUUUUGAUUUUGAUAUCACGUUGAAGAAUUAUCUUUGUGUUUUGAAGUUAUACUUAUUUUUGUUCUUUUAAUUUUUCUGUUUUCUCUCUCUCUCUCUCUUUCAUUAUUUAUUUUUCGUGAAUUUAAUAUACGUGGAUAAAUACUCGUAUUAUAUAUCUGGUGUGGUAUUGCAAGUGGACACAUCAUAAUGUUGUAUACCAUAAGACUUUAUGAAUUAAUUAUAACAUACUUUGAGUUUAAAUUCAGACGUUGAGAAGAAGCUUACGUAAAGAGCAUUUACAUAUAUACUGCCAACAGAAGCCAGCAGGCAGUGUCUUCUCUAACUAUGAAUACUGAAAAUAAUUUCGUCUAUAUUAAAAGUUUAUACGAGAAGUUUAAGAAUAUUCUUGACACAUCCUUGUUCCUUCAUUGCUGGUUACUUCGUGCUAUGUGAUUCAACUUUAAUCAAGAAGUUUGUUAAAUGAUCAAAACCAUCACACCGACCUCGAUAAUUACGAUGACAACCAUAUUCAAUCCCGGUUAAACUACUACAUGCAUAGGAUACUUCGACAUGUUCAUUCGUAUCGAACGAAAAAAAAGCUUCAAAUAGACGAGAAAACACAGCACAGAUCAACAUAACGAGAAGAAAUACGAAGAUGUUGAAGGAAACUCAUGCUAUUCCUUUCGAGCAGAAAAUAUUUCUAAAGAAAUGGGGGAAUAGCGAUUACAAAACGCCAGGAUGAAGAUGAAUCGAUCGAGGAAGAAGAUGCAACGAACCGAUUAUUAAGAUUAGGUGCACCAAUGAAAAGUGUCAUCCGUCCUUGUUCGAAUCGCAACGUGCCUUACUUUCGACCAUCACCAAUCCGGUCACGAGAUGAUUUUCACUUUGCGAAAAACAGCCUGUUUAAGUUUAAUUAUUAUUACUUUUUUUUCCCUUUUCUUUUUUUUUUUUUUUUUUUCGUUGAAACACACCUUUCGAAACCAUCUUGAAGAAGAAGAAAAAAGAAAUUGAAAUAAUAACAUUGGACAAGGGAAAGAAAUGUGAUUGCUGUUCGAAGUUUACAUUGAUUAUGCGAAACGUUGCAUCAAUUUGCAUUUGAAUAUCAAGAGGAAAAAAAAGGAAUGUAUCGAUGAAUAAAACCUUCCAUACUCUAUUGUUCCUACUUAAUGGGGGAAUUCAACACAAACACAUCGAAGAAUCGAAGAAUUUACGAUGGAUGAAUGAUAUCGAAAGGGUUUUUUUUUUUCUCUAUGGUAUUCAAGAUGAUUAAUUUUACUAUGUGAUCACGUUACCAAUCCCUUUUCCUCUCAAUUCCCCAUAGUCCUAAACCGAUAGUUAUUCCAUAUAAACUGUCGAUGUACACUACACUAUUAAUUUUUCUUAACGUUUAACAAAAUUUUUCGUUUAAACAAAUUGUCUUUGAUAUAUUUUGGUGCUAUGAUAAUACAAUGUUUAAUUACAAAUAUGAUAACGUAUUAUCCGAAAAUAUAAAACAUUCUAAAUUCGGAUAAGAUCAAUUUUCUAUAGAGAACACGCGUGCAAAUUUAUUAUCAAAGACACAUUUAACAAAACACGCACACAUUUUUCAUCGUUAAUUAUCGAUUUAAUUUUUUUCUUUUUUUUUCGUAUUUUAAACAACGACAUGAGUACUUUUUUUUUUUUUUUUCCUCAUCGAUGAUAAUAAUACCACGGUCAAUUUUAAUUAAAAAAAAAAAACAAUUUUAAACAUUUAUAAAAGCUUUAUAUACGUAUGAACAAUUUUUGAUUUACAAGUACAGGCAGUAUGUAACAAAAAAAAAAAAGAAUAAUAUAAAGAAAGAAAGAAAAAGAGAAAAAAAAACAUAAUACUCUCUAAUGGUGUGCCAUGAUGUUCGAGAGAUAUUUAAGAAAAAAAAAA
Long non-coding RNA from Polistes canadensis, 2400 nucleotides. RefSeq lists it as uncharacterized. The transcript is spliced from 5 exons. NCBI's taxonomy places the organism in Eukaryota, Metazoa, Arthropoda, Insecta, Hymenoptera, Vespidae. The record is from RefSeq and is a predicted model, not a curated record.